This 2205-nucleotide long non-coding RNA is filed under the name Homo sapiens (human). RNAcentral's name for it is "HSALNT0382798". Lineage: Eukaryota; Metazoa; Chordata; Mammalia; Primates; Hominidae. The record is from RNAcentral.
GGACACUUCCUUUAAGAACAGUAUUGAUAGACUGCCUUUAUGCAAAUCCCUUUGGAAGAAAGGAUGGAGAGGAAGAAGCCGGAAACAGAUGAGAGGCAGGAAAUACCAAAUUGCAUGUUUAUAAAUGCUGUGAAGGAAUAUGGCAAGAGGGGAUAAUGCUAGACUGGCGGCCAUGGAAACUGAAGUCUUCUGUUUGUUCACAGGACGGCUCAUAGCCCUGAAAGUCCCAGUUCAAGCUUCCACAAUCAUCCUACACAAGAGCACUGCUUCUCACAGGACUGCCUCAGCCUGGCAGGAUUCAGUCUCCUGCUCUGAGGGAAAAACAGGAAGUCAAGGAUCAAGACCGAGUGCUCAACUGAGAUCAGAAAGGAGGACACACAGUGACUUGGCCAAAUCACUGGAGAUUCACACAGCAGAGCUCAGACGAGUGCUAUCAGCACAGCUGAGGAAGACAACAGUUAGGGUGCAAGGAUCCUGAAAGAGAAACAUUGGUUGUGUUUUUAUUCCUUGGGUAUAAGAAUCCUGAAAGAGAAAGGCAUCUGAACCUUGGAGGCAUGGGGUUCAUCUCAUCCUCAUCCAGCCUGUGAUGAUGGAGCUGUUUUCACCAGAAACGUGAGGAGACUCAUACCACUUGAGUUCUGCUUAAAUUCAGCAUCUUCUCUCAGUUCAAAUUUAAGAAAGGAGAUACCACACCACCCACCGACAUAUCCCAUUCUGGAAGAGUAUACAAACUAAAGAUAGAAAACUUCUCAAAUCUACCUGGAAGCUUGCAUAUUCAAAGGAACUAUUUGUUGGAGUGCCAGAUUAUUUAAGGGCCUUUGCAUGUUUCAAGUCCUCUUCUUAAAGUAAGAAUACUCUCCACAUUUAUAACAGCAACAAAAACACCAAUGUCAGCACAAAAUGCAAAAACGGAGGCACUUCUAUGUCAUAAUGAUACAUCAGAGUUCUGCUCAACUCUUUUUUAGAAAAAGAAGCUCAGACUUACACACAUCCACUUUCUUAAAUAAAUAAUUGUUCAAUGAAAGUUACCCUGGGAGGAUUGCUGUCUCCAGCUCCCAAGCACUGCUCAUCUGCUGACGGGGGGUACUCUGUGACUGUUACAGAAAUUGCUCUUAAAUGCAUAAAACACAGAAGAGAAUUUUUGGAAAAUCCCUUAUUAUUCAUUAAAGCAUUUUAGGGCCUCAUUAAUCCAGAUGGGUUAAUCGGUUGUUGAUUUGCCAGGUUGUUAAGCAUCCAUUGUCAGAUGCUGAUGGGGUGUGAGAAAAUAUAAUUCCGAUCUACCAAAGAGUCACCUGAAUGAGGCUAGCACUUCAUCAGGGAAGGCUGUAUCUUCCUCAGGGAAGGCUGUGUCUUCAUCAGGGAAGGCUGUAUCUUCCUCAGAGAAGGCUGUAGCUUCCUCAGAGAAGGGUGUAUCUUUACCAGGGAAGGCUAUGUCUUCAUCAGGGAAGGCUGUAUCUUCCUCAGAGAAGGCUGUAUCUUCACCAGGGAAGGCUGUAUCUUCAUUACGGAAGGCAGUAUCUUCUGGGGAUAAAUUAAGCUGGGCAUCCAGCUUCUUCUUUAAUUUCCAAAACUUCUCUGUAUCACAAAACAUUCCUCAUUCUUUGGGUGUUUUUUUUUUGUUUUUUUGUUUUUUUUUUUUUUGCCUACCUAAGGUCUGAAAUGAUGUCAGAAGCCAUUUUCAAAAGCUAGUUCGUAACAGGUCAACAGGUCAGUCGCACAUAUGCACUUAGGCACAGAAGCCCAACAUUUAAAGAUGUUUGUGUGUACGUGUCUGUAUACGUGUAUACACAUCUGUGUAUAUGUUUGUGUCUACACAUGUAUACACGUCUAGGCGUAUAUGUUUGUGUCUACACGUCUGUGUAUAUGUUUGUGUCUACAUGUGUCUAUGUGUUUGUCUAUAUGUCCAUAUGCGUAUAUUUGUGUGUGUCUGCGUGUGUGUGCAUGAGUUUGGCUUUGACUUUGUUUCAAAGUUCUUAGCUAGAGCCUGUCCACAUCUUCAGCCCUUCAGACACAAAUGGUAUUCAGGUUAUCAAGGGGAUUCUUUAGCCAGGGCUUAAAAACUCAACUUUCUUUCUUUCCAAACCUUGACUGACUGAGAGUCACAUAACAGCAGUGAGCACAGUGAGAAAAGUCCCUGGAUUAGAAGUUGGAAAAUAUGAUUCAGGGUCCUGGUUCUGUUUUAAGAGAGGAAGUGACCAUCAUUAG